ACAAUAAAAUCCCAAAAACACCAAAUCUAAUUUCCCAAGGUCUUCAUCAUCAUAAUCAAGAGUCCAGAAAUAAUCAAAAUCCAGAAAACAAGAAAAAGAAACCCAUAAGUGCUGGUGGUGGCCAGGAAACCCAGAAAUGGUGGUGGUGUUGUUCCUCUUCCUCACUGUAGCAUAGAUCUUCUUUCUUUUUCCUCUUAUUUUCCCCACUGCUUGCAGCAAGCUCGAUGCUACCAGCCAGGGUCAUGGACGAACAAUAUAAUUUCCAGAUCUGGGACGAACGAUAUCAUUUCCAGUGUAUUCCCAAAUCCAGAAACCCAUGAACAACCUCGUUCCUAACAGAAGCUUCGAUGGCGAUGAUUAACCCAGAUUUGUUGCUCAAGAAGGUCUCAUCCUCACAAAGGCACGGCCUCUUUUGUCGUUGAUCUUCAAUCUCGCUACCAGCCCAAUGAUUCAGAUCUAGGAUUUUGCAGGUGAGGGUGAGGUUUGAAGGGAGGGAAGAGGUGAAAUGAUCCGUUUUAAAAUAAAAGUGGGGACAAAAAAAAAAAGACAGAGAAUAGAAGAUUAAAAAAAAAAAAACAAGAAAAACAAAAAUCUAACCUUUAAAAAACCCACCGUAACCCCACCCUAUUCCUAAUGAAAAAAAAAAAAAAACAAUUCCCUAAUUCUUAAAACAAAACCACGUAAUACUACCCCAUCUACCCACUACUUUUCUAUCUAAACCUUAUGUUCUCUCUCGUUUUUGCUCUGCAAUUGAUUAUCUCCCACAAAUUCUUGUUCAUCUUUUGUUCUUUUUCACUACAAGUUCCACACCAAAUUUCCGAUUCCAAUAGACACCCAUGAAGGAAUAUUUUGGCAUCCAAGUGGAAGUGCUUUUGGGAUAAUUUUGAGGGUUAGGGUUUGUGCUCUAAGGAAGGAGAAGAGUAUCCACUCCUACAGAAUUGUUCUUCCUAUUUCAUUGAGAUCUGCCGGUUAGUGGUUCGUUUGGUUGUCGCGCCGUUGUAGAGAGCAAUCGUGUUGGUUCUUCGUAACUGCUUGCCAGGCUAAGGUGAUAGUCUGUGCGCCGGUCACGGCUUAGGAUUUUGGGUCGUGACAAAGUUGGUAUCAGAGCUUUGGUUGUAGGUCCUAUUAGCUGCAGACAUGAGGUUGUAAUGGAAUCUUGCUAGUAAAUUGUGAACCGCGGCACAACUUACUUCAAAGAUGCUAUUAACGCCUCAUGAGAGUCCUAAAGUUGUUUCCAAAGUGUGAUUUGAGUUUGUUCCUCAUUCACUGAGUUCCGAGUCAUGUGUUAUGUUUGAUGAAUAUUCUUUGUUCAGUUAGGAUGCCACCUAAAUUAGGAUUUCUAUUAUAAGACGAUUAGCUUGUUAGAACCCUCCGUAAGACAUUUGGGGUCAGUAGCGUUCGACAGUGUAGUGCAAGCCAAAGGCGAUAGACGUUGGUUGUUUGUUGACGUAGGAAAUGUUAAGGUACUUAUAUCGAGACAAUGAAAUUUAUGAAUGAUAGAGCUUGCAAUUGGCUUGAAGGGAUUACAACAUGAUGUGAAUCUAUGUGUUGGAGUUGUUAUUGGGAGCGUCAACCAAGUGUUAGAAAAAGGGAGCAACAACAAGUGAGUGUCAUUGGAGAGGUUGAUGUCACAUUGAUUGUUCACGUUAAACUUAAUUAUCAUGCUUUUCUAGUACUAGUCAAGGGUGGAUCAUAGAGGUUUAUUGAUGCUUUUGAGAGUAUAUGGAGAGCACUUGGAUGCUCAUGCAUAAGGGUGGCAAAGUUAACGUCAUUCAGUUGGAGGAUUGUAACACAUGAUUGAUCUAAUGACUUUAUGGUAUGUGAGCGAUUGGAUCGGCUUUGAUAACGUGAAUAAAUUUUCCUAGAAACUCAUAAAUCGCUUUUUUUCUAAAUUGUUAGAGAUGACUUUGCAUAUAAGUUUGAGCUGCUGAAGAAAAUUGAUAAUAAUUUCUCAAGUACUCUCUAGAGUAAUUCUAGUAGAUAAUCUUAAAGCUUUAUGUAGAGUCAUAGACUAGAUUUAAA
Molecule: long non-coding RNA, 2022 nt
Organism: Lotus japonicus
Lineage: Eukaryota; Viridiplantae; Streptophyta; Magnoliopsida; Fabales; Fabaceae
Exons: 3
Source: RefSeq, a predicted model, not a curated record